RNAcentral lists this transfer RNA (76 nucleotides) under Polaromonas sp. Its description in RNAcentral is "tRNA-Ala". It matches the Rfam family "tRNA". From Rfam's summary of the family: Transfer RNA (tRNA) molecules are approximately 80 nucleotides in length. Lineage: Bacteria; Pseudomonadati; Pseudomonadota; Betaproteobacteria; Burkholderiales; Comamonadaceae. The record is from RNAcentral.
GGGGAUGUAGCUCAGGCGGGAGAGCACCUGCUUUGCAAGCAGAUGGCCAUCGGUUCGAUCCCGAUCAUCUCCACCA